UGGGGGUCGUGCUGGCCUCCGGCGUGGUGGUGGUCGACUCCUGGAAGGGGGACAAGGUCCAGGACGGCGCCGAGUCGUGGACGUAGAUCUUGUAGGAGGAGAUACCUAGACUAUUGUCUCUUCAAGAACUCCCUCUGGAGCUUGGCUGCUCCUCUAAGAUAGUUCUGUGCUAACAACCAUCAGGAAGAUCUGUGGAAGUGGUUUAUCAGUGAACAGGAAAGAGGAUUAGGAGAAAGCCCUUAGAAAGUGCACAUCCACAAAUGGAUGCCAAACAAAUGAGAAAGAUGGGGAAGUCUUGCAAACCCAGAAAUCUGUACUAUCUCCUUGAGGACAUCUGUGACUGGAGCGGAUUAAAAUUACUUAUCUAGGAUGGAGUCAGAAGUGGUAUUUUCCUAAGGACGGGAGUGACACAGCGUGUAACAGGUACACCAUUUAUGCAGGUAUCCCUUUGUUUGUCACGGGGGUUCUGCUCUGGCUGUCAGUAGGCAUGGCCCAGCUAAUGGUUGUGCUAAGGGCUGCUGUUCCUGCUUGGCUUCACACAUGCCUACAGCCACUAUUUCACAUAAUGAAAGGUAAUGGGUGAGUUAAAGGAGUUAGAUUAUUCCUUAACUGUUAUCAUGGCAUCAGAUAUAAAAACCUCAGGAUAACUAUCCUUGGAAGAGCCAGCAAAAGAAGCAGAAAUUCAAAUUUGGAAAAUUGGAGCUAUGAAAUGGAGUUACAUCCAUUUCAGCAUGUAAACAAUAUGCAUGUGGGAUGCUUAUAUCCCAGUCCUGCAUACACACAGAGUUAAAAGCCCUUCUUUCCUCCCCAGCUUUACAAAACACUGAAGACCUUCCUUGUUAUCUCAUGUAUCAUCUGAAGUUUUAAGCAACAAAACCUCCACAGUUACUUUUCUUUAUGGUGUAAUCAGCUCCUGAGAGCAAAACCAGUCUAGAAAUUGAGUUGCUUCAGUACCCACCUCACCUGCUGUGUUCUGGUACGUCAGCAGGUGGAUGUGGUGAAUAAAACAGAAUUUCCCAAAGGAUGCCUGAAUUAGGGCUGGUUAUAUAAAUAGGUGUUACGCUGCUUCCCAAAC
Molecule: long non-coding RNA, 1075 nt
Organism: Passer domesticus (house sparrow)
Lineage: Eukaryota; Metazoa; Chordata; Aves; Passeriformes; Passeridae
Exons: 4
Source: RefSeq, a predicted model, not a curated record